RNAcentral lists this ribosomal RNA (253 nucleotides) under uncultured bacterium. RNAcentral describes it as "partial 16S ribosomal RNA". It matches the Rfam family "Bacterial small subunit ribosomal RNA", at positions 524 to 776 of the family's 1533-position model. The record is from RNAcentral.
UACAGAGGGGGCGAGCGUUGUUCGGAAUUACUGGGCGUAAAGGGCGCGUAGGCGGCCUGCUAAGUCGAACGUGAAAUCCCCGGGCUCAACCCGGGAACUGCGUCCGAUACUGGAUGGCUUGAAUCCGGGAGAGGGAUGCGGAAUUCCAGGUGUAGCGGUGAAAUGCGUAGAUAUCUGGAGGAACACCGGUGGCGAAGGCGGCAUCCUGGACCGGCAUUGACGCUGAGGAGCGAAAGCCAGGGGAGCAAACGGG